AACGUAGGACGCAAGCGUUAUCCGGAGUUACUGGGCGUAAAGCGCGGGCAGGCGGCUCGAAACGUCUGAUGUGAAAUCUCCUCGCUCAACGGGGAGAGGCCAUUGGAAACGGUCGAGCUGGAGGGCAGUAGAGGUAGGCGGAAUUCCGGGUGGAGUGGUGAAAUGCGUAGAGAUCCGGAGGAACACCAGAGGCGAAGGCGGCCUACUGGGCUGCACCUGACGCUGAGCCGCGAAAGCGUGGGGAGCGAUCCGG
Molecule: ribosomal RNA, 253 nt
Filed under: uncultured bacterium
Lineage: Bacteria
Description: partial 16S ribosomal RNA
Rfam family: Bacterial small subunit ribosomal RNA
Source: RNAcentral